This is a long non-coding RNA of Cavia porcellus (domestic guinea pig), 267 nucleotides long. RefSeq lists it as uncharacterized. Lineage: Eukaryota; Metazoa; Chordata; Mammalia; Rodentia; Caviidae. The transcript is spliced from 3 exons. The record is from RefSeq and is a predicted model, not a curated record.
GAAACCGGGCAAGCUCUUUUCUGGCUGUUGGUGGUAUAUGUAAUUCCAGUGAACGCUGUAAGAUUUCUGGAACAUAACAUUUUGAUCACUAGAUCUGGACCAGGAAUGAAAAUCAAGAACUUGAUGGCUUAUUAUAAUAAGAUUGCAGUCCUAUUCCAUUUAAACACUAAAAAAUCCCAUUGGCCAACAGGACAAAGGCAGAAAUGGAAAGAAGAAUGGAUGGAGAGAAGUAGUGAGGAGAGAAGAAAGGGAGAAAGAAAAUAAAAG